GGAGCCUGAGAAACGGCUACCACAUCUAAGGAAGGCAGCAGGCGCGCAAAUUACCCAAUCCUAAUACAGGGAGGUAGUGACAAGAAAUAACAAUACAGGACUUUUUGGUUUUGUAAUUGGAAUGAGUUAAGUAUAAACCCCUUUACAAGUAUCAAUUGGAGGGCAAGUCUGGUGCCAGCAGCCGCGGUAAUUCCAGCUCCAAUAGCGUAUAUUAAAGUUGUUGCAGUUAAAAAGCUCGUAGUUGGAU
This 247-nucleotide ribosomal RNA is filed under the name Cryptosporidium meleagridis. Its description in RNAcentral is "partial small subunit ribosomal RNA". It matches the Rfam family "Eukaryotic small subunit ribosomal RNA", at positions 391 to 639 of the family's 1831-position model. The record is from RNAcentral. Lineage: Eukaryota; Apicomplexa; Conoidasida; Eucoccidiorida; Cryptosporidiidae.